Molecule: ribosomal RNA, 468 nt
Filed under: uncultured bacterium
Lineage: Bacteria
Description: partial 16S ribosomal RNA
Rfam family: Bacterial small subunit ribosomal RNA
Source: RNAcentral
GACGAACGCUGGCGGCGUGCUUAACACAUGCAAGUCGAACGGAAAGGCCCUGCUUUUGUGGGGUGCUCGAGUGGCGAACGGGUGAGUAACACGUGAGUAACCUGCCCUUGACUUUGGGAUAACUUCAGGAAACUGGGGCUAAUACCGGAUAGGAGCUCCUGCUGCAUGGUGGGGGUUGGAAAGUUUCGGCGGUUGGGGAUGGACUCGCGGCUUAUCAGCUUGUUGGUGGGGUAGUGGCUUACCAAGGCUUUGACGGGUAGCCGGCCUGAGAGGGUGACCGGCCACAUUGGGACUGAGAUACGGCGCAGACUCCUACGGGAGGCAGCAGGGGGGAAUAUGGCACAAUGGGCGGAAGCCUGAUGCAGCAACGCCGCGUGCGGGAUGACGGCCUUCGGGUGGUAAACCGCUUUCGCCUGUGACGAAGCGUGAGUGACGGUAAUGGGUAAAGAAGCACCGGCUAACUACGUG